AGUGAACGCUGGCGGUAGGCCUAACACAUGCAAGUCGAACGGCAGCACAGUAAGAGCUUGCUCUUACGGGUGGCGAGUGGCGGACGGGUGAGGAAUACAUCGGAAUCUACUUUUUCGUGGGGGAUAACGUAGGGAAACUUACGCUAAUACCGCAUACGACCUACGGGUGAAAGCAGGGGAUCUUCGGACCUUGCGCGAUUGAAUGAGCCGAUGUCGGAUUAGCUAGUUGGCGGGGUAAAGGCCCACCAAGGCGACGAUCCGUAGCUGGUCAGAGAGGAUGAUCAGCCACACUGGAACUGGGACACGGUCCAUACUCCUACGGGACGCAGCAGUGGGGAAUAUUGGACAGUGGGCGCAAGCCUGAUCCAGCCAUACCGCGUGUGUGAAGAAGGCCUCCGGGUUGUAAAGCCCUUUUGUUGGGAAAGAAAAGCAGCAGGUUAAUACCCCGCUGUUCUGACGGUACCCAAAGAAUAAGCACCGGCUAACUUCGUG
Molecule: ribosomal RNA, 492 nt
Filed under: uncultured bacterium
Lineage: Bacteria
Description: partial 16S ribosomal RNA
Rfam family: Bacterial small subunit ribosomal RNA
Source: RNAcentral